This 253-nucleotide ribosomal RNA is filed under the name uncultured prokaryote. Its description in RNAcentral is "partial 16S ribosomal RNA". It matches the Rfam family "Bacterial small subunit ribosomal RNA", at positions 524 to 776 of the family's 1533-position model. The record is from RNAcentral.
UACGUAGGCAGCAAACGUUGUUCGGAAUUGCUGGGCGUAAAGAGUGUGUAGGCGAUUUCGCAAGUUUGGUGUGAAAUCUCCCGGCUUAACUGGGAGGGUGCGCCGAAAACUGCGGGGCUUGAGUGCUGGAGAGGAUAGCGGAAUUCCUGGUGUAGCGGUGAAAUGCGUAGAUAUCAGGAGGAACACCGGCGGUGUAGACGGCUAUCUGGACAGCUACUGACGCUGAGACACGAAAGCGUGGGGAGCAAACAGG